Molecule: ribosomal RNA, 409 nt
Filed under: bacterium
Lineage: Bacteria
Description: partial 16S ribosomal RNA
Rfam family: Bacterial small subunit ribosomal RNA
Source: RNAcentral
UGGGGAAUAUUGCACAAUGGGCGAAAGCCUGAUGCAGCGACGCCGCGUGAGGGAUGACUGCCUUCGGGUUGUAAACCUCUUUCAGUAGGGACGAAGCGCAAGUGACGGUACCUGCAGAAGAAGCACCGGCUAACUACGUGCCAGCAGCCGCGGUAAUACGUAGGGUGCGAGCGUUGUCCGGAAUUACUGGGCGUAAAGAGCUCGUAGGCGGUUUGUCACGUCGUCUGUGAAAUCCUAGGGCUUAACCCUGGACGUGCAGGCGAUACGGGCUGACUUGAGUACUACAGGGGAGACUGGAAUUUCUGGUGUAGCGGUGGAAUGCACAGAUAUCAGGAAGAACACCGAUGGCGAAGGCAGGUCUCUGGGUAGUAACUGACGCUGAGGAGCGAAAGCAUGGGUAGCGAACAGG